RNAcentral lists this ribosomal RNA (406 nucleotides) under uncultured bacterium. RNAcentral describes it as "partial 16S ribosomal RNA". It matches the Rfam family "Bacterial small subunit ribosomal RNA", at positions 30 to 526 of the family's 1533-position model. The record is from RNAcentral.
AUUGAACGCUGGCGGCAGGCCUAACACAUGCAAGUCGAACGAGUGGCGGACGGGUGAGUAAUGUCUGGGAAACUGCCUGAUGGAGGGGGAUAACUACUGGAAACGGUAGCUAAUACCGCAUACCAUCGGAUGUGCCCAGAUGGGAUUAGCUAGUAGGUGGGGUAAAGGCUCACCUAGGCGACGAUCCCUAGCUGGUCUGAGAGGAUGAUCAGCCACACGGGAACUGGAACACGGUCCAGACUCCUACAGGAGGCGGAAGUGGGCAAUAUUGGACACUGUGCGCAAGCCUGAUGCAGCCAGGCCGCGUGUAUGAAGAAGGCCUUCGGGUUGUAAAGUACUUUCGGCGGGGAGGCGUUACCCGCAGAAGAAGCACCGGCUAACUACGUGCCAGCAGCCGCGGUAAUUC